Molecule: ribosomal RNA, 397 nt
Filed under: uncultured bacterium
Lineage: Bacteria
Description: partial 16S ribosomal RNA
Rfam family: Bacterial small subunit ribosomal RNA
Source: RNAcentral
AUACGUAGGGUGCAAGCGUUAAUCGGAAUUAUUGGGCGUAAAGCGCGCGCAGGUGGUUCCUUAAGUCUGAUGUGAAAGCCCCCGGCUCAACCGGGGAGGGUCAUUGGAAACUGGGGAACUUGAGUGCAGAAGAGGAUAGUGGAAUUCCAAGUGUAGCGGUGAAAUGCGUAGAGAUUUGGAGGAACACCAGUGGCGAAGGCGACUGUCUGGUCUGUAACUGACACUGAGGCGCGAAAGCGUGGGGAGCAAACAGGAUUAGAUACCCUGGUAGUCCACGCCGUAAACGAUGAGUGCUAAGUGUUGGGGGGUUUCCGCCCCUCAGUGCUGCAGCUAACGCAUUAAGCACUCCGCCUGGGGAGUACGGUCGCAAGACUGAAACUCAAAUGAAUUGACGGGG